GGAGUGGACGCCGUUCUCAUGAGGGAUGAAGCGGAUGGUGUGCUUGUCUGGGGGCAGAGGUUGGCGGGCCCAGCUCAGGAAGGUCCUCAACAAGACCGCUAAGAGAUGAGGCCACCUGGCUGCACUGGACAUGGUGGAGACGAGAUGAUGUGCCCUGUCCUGGCUGAAGAGGUGAGACCCAGACACCAUACGUAAAGCCGGCCCGAUGGCAGAGAAGCCAGUGCUAGGACAGUGCUGUGUGGCCUGCGAGCACCCAGCUCCGGUGAGGAAAGGGGAGCGUGGCCUGGACUGGCCUGGAAGCGCUCAAUGGGGGAGGUGGACCGAUGGGGAGGGAGGCUCCUGGGGGAGUGAGGACAAGCCGGGGGUGGGGGGCACAGAGCCCAAUUCUAGAGCAGCGGUAGCAGUGGGGGAGGAAUGGCACUGGGGCUCCUGAAGCUAAGAUUACCCUGAGGGGCAGCUGGAAGGGGGCAUGGAGCCCCUGCUGCACGAACACUGGGAGAGGAGACAUCUGUCUGUCUGGACCUUGCAAGGUCACUGCUAAGUCCCUGGCCACACGGGCCCGCCCAUCUCUCAGGGUGGCAGAGGGGCCCCAUCCCCAGGCACUCACCUGGAGGCUGGUGACAGUAAGACGGCGAGCAUCAUCCGAGAGGGAGGCCACGGGCACCACAAAGGGGCUGUCCGGGAUGUGCUCAUCAUUGAACUUGAUGGAGACCUCAUAGUCACCUGGGGAGGGAAGGCCCGUCAGCAAGGCCCCAGGAUGAGAUGGCAGGGCAGAACCGCCUCCUCCCAGGAGAGCCCCCUGGGUCAGCGCUCAGCUCUGGAGCGAGAGGCACGUUCCCAGAGGGGUGGGGUGAAGGGAGAGAGAGCAGGGACCCAGGUGACGAGUUAGGUAGCCCCGUCUCCUGCCUGGGUGAACAGAAACCCAGUCUGGAAGGCGAGGCAGGCCCAGACCCAGUGUGGACACCCACCUGGUUCCUGGACGACAUAGGAGACCCCGCAGGAGCCAUCUUUGCGGUCCUCAAAUGCAAUCUCUGCCUUGCUGGGGCCCUCCACAGCAAUGGACAGGCCCCCGGCACCAGCUUCUCGGGUCCAGAUGCUGAACUCGGCUGGAGAAAGGGAAGCGGGACAGGGGCGGCUCUUCAGCACCCUCGCCCAGCCUGCUGGCUGCCUUGCCCCCGUCCCCUGUCCUGGCCCUUACCUGGCACACCGGCCACCCCUCGCUCUAGCCCUGUGCCUCCAGCCCGCACCUUGUGGGCACCACCUUCACCCAGUGGCCCCACGGUGAACUGAAAGGGGCUGCCUGGCACGUGCUGGCCGCGGUACUUGACGGUGACUGUGUGGGGCCCCAUCUCCUGGGGCACGAAGCGCACGCUGUACGCGCUGUCCUCUCCCUCCACGAUCUCCGCGGCCUCCGUCUUGCCUGAGGGGCUGGUCACCUGUGCGGUCAUGUCCUGAGAGCUGGCCUCACCUGCAGGAGGUGGGGAGUGACAGGGGAUGACGGGGGCUGCUCCUGCCCUGGCCUUUCCCUCCCCUCCCUCCGCGUAAACCCCUCUUCCUCUCAGACCAACAGCCUCCCCCUCCCCGUCCCAAGGGACAGAACACCCGACCUCCCUGUGAGGACCCCGGCCGGGCCCUGCUCACCCUCUUGCUGCCGAGUGAUGCUGCCAAAAGAGCCCAGACGUUCCCGGCCCAGGAAGUCCCCGAAGACGGCGGGGAAGGGGUCUCCGCCAACCUGAGUGGACUCCUCCACCCGCACCUCGCGCUUGGUCUCCCCACCCCGCGUCUUGCUGAUCUCCGUGCGCUCCGUGCGGGUGUACGUGUGGCUGCUGCGGGUGAAGGUACGUGUCAAGCGCUCCUGGGCAGACACCAUCUGGAACCAGUUCCCUGCGGGGCACAGGGAGUGGGAGGAGGGAAAGGAAGUGAGAAAGGAGCCUGCAGGACGGACACCGAGGGGCAGGCUCCCCGCCGCCCCCAGGCCCUUGUGGGCACCCACCUGGGAUCUUGAGGUUGAGGUCGCAGGUGCUGCCGAUGGUAGCGAUGGAAGGCGCCUGCCUGCGCCGCGUGAUGCUCUCCUUCAUGCGGCCCUCGCCCGUCACCUUCACCGUGAAGGGGCUUCCUGUCGGGGGGAGAGGGCCAGGCGUCUCAGAUGGCUCAUCUCCGGCCUCCGGCCCGUCCCAGCCACAGCCCAGAGCCUUACCAGGUACGUGCUUGUCGGCAAACUUGAUGUUGAUGAUGUAGGUGCCGGGUUCGGUGGGGCAGUAGGUGACUUUGCAGGUGCCAUCCUCCAUAUCCUCACAGUUGAUGUCCACCUUGCUCGGGCCUUCAAUGCUCAGCCCCAGGCCCCCGUAGCCUAGCGGGAAAUGGGGACACAGCGCCUUCAGCCCCACGGCUGUUCUGCUCUCCUCUCCUCAAACUGCAGGCUCCCUCCACCAUAGGCACCCAAACUGUGUCAUAACCACUGACAAAUGGCUCAGCAGGAGGAGAGGGUGAGCCAGGCAUGACCCAGAGGGUCAGGGGUAGCGAGUCUGGAAGAUUCCCUGAGGCAGGCCUCUUGGGUCCAGGGAGCAAGGGGGAGACAGAAACUCGGGGACAGCUGAGCUGUCUCUUAAAUGCACCUGCGUUCCGAGUGUCCACGAUGAACUCCGCCACCUGGAACGUCUGUCCCUCGGACAGACCCUUGCCCCAGACCCGGACCUUGCUAGCGUCCCCAAUCUCAGACGGCCCCACCAGGAUCUUGAAGGGGCUGUUGGUGACAUGCUUGCCGCUCUUGCGCACGCUCACCACGUGCUCCCCAACCUCCUUGGGGGUGAAGGAGAUACCUGGGGGGGGGGGAGGGAGGGGGAUCAGACAUGAAUGGAGCCCUGGGGCUGGCAGCGACCCUUUCCAGCCCACCUCCUCUCCCCAGGCCCCUCCUGUGGCCCCACACUCACCAAUGUGCCGGUUGGGCAGGCGCUUCAGCAGGCAGGGCUCCUCGUUGCCCGAGGGGGCACGGAUGCUGGCAGUCAGCUGGCUCAGGUCACUCUCAGUGAUCUUCAGCGACACAUCCGUGGACGUGCCCACAUUCAGCUGUGAUGUCCUCAUUGAGUCAUCACCUGGGAGAAUUGGAGUGUCAGGCAGUGUGAUUCCUGGCAUCCGCUGGAUGCCCCAGGCCUGAACGGGUUAAAUUCCUGGUUCACACAAGCUUUAAUCCUGACUUGCAUGAUUCUGAGGAACCAAUAAACUAGACCCUGACCCCUUA
Long non-coding RNA from Phacochoerus africanus (Common warthog), 3238 nucleotides. RefSeq lists it as uncharacterized. The transcript has 2 exons. The record is from RefSeq and is a predicted model, not a curated record. NCBI's taxonomy places the organism in Eukaryota, Metazoa, Chordata, Mammalia, Artiodactyla, Suidae.